GACGAACGCUGGCGGCGUGCUUAACACAUGCAAGUCGAACGGAGAAUUUUAUUUCGGUAGAAUUCUUAGUGGCGAACGGGUGAGUAACGCGUAGACAACCUGCCUCUUAGAUGGGGACAACAUCGCGAAAGCGGUGCUAAUACCGAAUGAAGUGGAGCUUCCGCAUGGAAGCAUCACCAAAGGUGGCCUCUAUUUAUAAGCUACCACUGAGAGAUGGGUCUGCGUCUGAUUAGCUAGUUGGCGGGGUAAUGGCCCACCAAGGCGACGAUCAGUAGCCGGUCUGAGAGGAUGAACGGCCACAUUGGGACUGAGACACGGCCCAAACUCCUACGGGAGGCAGCAGUGGGGAAUCUUCCGCAAUGGACGAAAGUCUGACGGAGCAACGCCGCGUGAGUGAAGAAGGUUUUCGGAUCGUAAAGCUCUGUUGUUUGAGACGAAUGUGCAGACUUUGAAUAAGGGUUUGUAAUGACGGUAUUAAACGAGAAAGCCACGGCUAACUACGUGCCAGCCGCCGCCGUAA
Molecule: ribosomal RNA, 520 nt
Filed under: uncultured bacterium
Lineage: Bacteria
Description: partial 16S ribosomal RNA
Rfam family: Bacterial small subunit ribosomal RNA
Source: RNAcentral